This 74-nucleotide transfer RNA is filed under the name Homarus americanus (American lobster). RNAcentral's name for it is "tRNA-Ile". It matches the Rfam family "tRNA". Rfam says of the family: Transfer RNA (tRNA) molecules are approximately 80 nucleotides in length. The record is from RNAcentral. Lineage: Eukaryota; Metazoa; Arthropoda; Malacostraca; Decapoda; Nephropidae.
GUCCCAGUGGCGCAAUCGGGUAGCGCGCGGUACUUAUAAUGCCGAGGUUGUGAGUUCGAGCCUCACCUGGGACA